This 698-nucleotide ribosomal RNA is filed under the name Leuconostoc lactis. RNAcentral's name for it is "bacterial SSU rRNA". It matches the Rfam family "Bacterial small subunit ribosomal RNA", at positions 51 to 731 of the family's 1533-position model. The record is from RNAcentral. Lineage: Bacteria; Bacillati; Bacillota; Bacilli; Lactobacillales; Lactobacillaceae.
AUACAUGCAAGUCGAACGCGCAGCGAAAGGUGCUUGCACCUUUCAAGCGAGUGGCGAACGGGUGAGUAACACGUGGAUAACCUGCCUCAAGGCUGGGGAUAACAUUUGGAAACAGAUGCUAAUACCGAAUAAAACUUAGUAUCGCAUGAUACAAAGUUGAAAGGCGCUACGGCGUCACCUAGAGAUGGGUCCGCGGUGCAUUAGUUAGUUGGUGGGGUAAAGGCCUACCAAGACAAUGAUGCAUAGCCGAGUUGAGAGACUGAUCGGCCACAUUGGGACUGAGACACGGCCCAAACUCCUACGGGAGGCUGCAGUAGGGAAUCUUCCACAAUGGGCGAAAGCCUGAUGGAGCAACGCCGCGUGUGUGAUGAAGGCUUUAGGGUCGUAAAGCACUGUUGUAUGGGAAGAAAUGCUAGAAUAGGGAAUGAUUCUAGUUCGACGGUACCAUACCAGAAAGGGACGGCUAAAUACGUGCCAGCAGCCGCGGUAAUACGUAUGUCCCGAGCGUUAUCCGGAUUUAUUGGGCGUAAAGCGAGCGCAGACGGUUGAUUAAGUCUGAUGUGAAAGCCCGGAGCUCAACUCCGGAAUGGCAUUGGAAACUGGUUAACUUGAGUGUUGUAGAGGUAAGUGGAACUCCAUGUGUAGCGGUGGAAUGCGUAGAUAUAUGGAAGAACACCAGUGGCGAAGGCGGCUUACUG